AACACGUAGUCAACCUUUCCAGGGGACGUGGAUAAUCUCGGGAAACUGAGAAUAAACCACGAUGGGUCACGAUUUCUGGAAUGGAUCAUGGCUUAAAUCUACAUGGCCCCUGGAUUGGACUGCGGCCGAUCAGGCUGUUGGUGAGGUAAUGGCCCACCAAACCUAUAACCGGUACGGGCUCUGAGAGGAGGAGCCCGGAGAUGGGCACUGAGACAAGGGCCCAGGCCCUAUGGGGCGCAGCAGGCGCGAAACCUCUGCAAUAGGCGAAAGCCUGACAGGGUUACUCUGAGUGAUUUCCGCUAAGGGGAUCUUUUGGCACCUCUAAAAAUGGUGCAGAAUAAGGGGUGGGCAAGUCUGGUGUCAGCCGCCGCGGUAAUACCAGCACCCCGAGUGGUCGGGACGAUUAUUGGGCCUAAAGCAUCCGUAGCCGGUUCUGCAAGUCCUCCGUUAAAUCCAGCCGCUCAACGGAUGGGCCGCGGAGGAUACUAUAGGACUAGGAGGCGGGAGAGGCAAGCGGUACUCAGUGGGUAGGGGUAAAAUCCUUUGAUCCAUUGAAGA
This 558-nucleotide ribosomal RNA is filed under the name uncultured archaeon. RNAcentral's name for it is "bacterial SSU rRNA". It matches the Rfam family "Archaeal small subunit ribosomal RNA", at positions 95 to 656 of the family's 1478-position model. The record is from RNAcentral.